RNAcentral lists this ribosomal RNA (501 nucleotides) under uncultured Pseudomonas sp. RNAcentral describes it as "bacterial SSU rRNA". It matches the Rfam family "Bacterial small subunit ribosomal RNA", at positions 903 to 1382 of the family's 1533-position model. Lineage: Bacteria; Pseudomonadati; Pseudomonadota; Gammaproteobacteria; Pseudomonadales; Pseudomonadaceae. The record is from RNAcentral.
CGUCCAGCCCGCUCAGAAACUACAAAGGAAUUGACGGGGCCCGCACAAGCGGUGGAGCAUGUGGUUAAUUCGAAGCAACGCGAAGAACCUUACCAGGCCUUGACAUGCAGAGAACUUUCCAGAGAUGGAUUGGUGCCUUCGGGAACUCUGACACAGGUGCUGCAUGGCUGUCGUCAGCUCGUGUCAUGAGAUGUUGGGUUAAGUCCCGUAACGAGCGCAACCCUUGUCCUUAGUUACCAGCACGUUAUGGUGGGCACUCUAAGGAGACUGCCGGUGACAAACCGGAGGAAGGUGGGGAUGACGUCAAGUCAUCAUGGCCCUUACGGCCUGGGCUACACACGUGCUACAAUGGUCGGUACAAAGGGUUGCCAAGCCGCGAGGUGGAGCUAAUCCCAUAAAACCGAUCGUAGUCCGGAUCGCAGUCUGCAACUCGACUGCGUGAAGUCGGAAUCGCUAGUAAUCGUGAAUCAGAAUGUCACGGUGAAUACGUUCCCGGGCCUU